RNAcentral lists this ribosomal RNA (474 nucleotides) under uncultured Glomus. RNAcentral describes it as "SSU rRNA". It matches the Rfam family "Eukaryotic small subunit ribosomal RNA", at positions 569 to 1040 of the family's 1831-position model. Lineage: Eukaryota; Fungi; Glomeromycota; Glomeromycetes; Glomerales; Glomeraceae. The record is from RNAcentral.
AGCGGCCGCGGUAAUUCCAGCUCCAAUAGCGUAUAUUAAAGUUGUUGCAGUUAAAAAGCUCGUAGUUGAAUUUCGGGGGUCAGUAGGUUGGUCAUGCCUUCGGUAUGUACUGGUCUCACUGAUUCCUCCCUCUUGAAGAACUGUAAUGUCAUUAAUUCGGUGUUGCGGGGAAACAGGACUGUUACUUUGAAAAAAUUAGAGUGUUUAAAGCAGGCUCACGCUUGAAUACAUUAGCAUGGAAUAAUGAAAUAGGACGUUCGAUCCUAUUUUGUUGGUUUCUAGGAUUGACGUAAUGAUUAAUAGGGAUAGGUUGGGGGCUAUUAGUAUUCAAUUGUCAGAGGUGAAAUUCUUGGUAUUUAUUGAAGACUAACUACUGCGUAAAGCAUUUGACCAAGGAUUGUUUUCAUUAAUCAAGAACGAAAGUUAGGGAUCGAAGACGAUCAAGNUACCGUCGUAGUCUUAACCAUAAACUAU